UAUAGUAGCCAUUUGUAUAACUUGACAAUUGUUUGUUAAUUUGAGCAGGUGGUUUAGCAAAUCUUUUUGAUGAAUACAUUAUAGUUUUUAUUGAUGUUUCGUUAGAAAAUUAACCUGCAACAAUGGGUCGGGCAUACAAGAGUGAACCCACUUCAAGCAAACAUGCACGAUUGACCAUGACCGAGUCACACGUGCAGUUUUGGCAGUAAAGGAAGGCAUGUCAGUAAGGGCAGCUGCUAAGGCUCAUGCUGGCUGGACAUGACAUCUCAUUUGUUUUUUACCACCCAACUCAACCCAUCUAACACAGCCACUAGAUGUUGCUGUUUUCAGGUCGCUGAAGAUACACUGGAGGUUGGUUUUGGAAAAAUGGAAGCUCAAAACCAAGAACAACAGCAAGUCAUUUGACAAACAGUAUUUUCCUUGUCUUUUAAAACAGACAUUGUAAAAAAUGAAUGUAAAUGACCAACUUAGCAAGGACAUAUCUUCAGGUUUUGAAAAAGCGGGCUUGUUCCCAUUGAAAAGAGAACGGGUCCUUGAAGGACUUCCUGCAUUUCCUGCUGAUCAACCAAAUGAAGGAAAGGAGAAUGAAAAAACAGUGAACGACAAUCUCUCACAGUUUUUAAAGGAGAUGUGCUAUGGUAAUGAAGAACCUGAAGCAAACAUGCAAGAAAAAGCGUCUGAGUGUUUACCAGAUCAGAGUGUUUCUCUUGCUGACUUGGAAUCAGAGGAUUGUGAUGUGGAAUUUGAUGAUAAAAAUAAUGAAGAAAAUGAGGAAGUUGAUCAAAUCAAAGAAGGGGACUGGGUGAGGGUAAAAUUUCAGUAUGAAAAUAGUGUUGAAAAGAUUUUUAUUGGGAAGAUGGCUUCAAUUUACACAUUCCCCAAUGUCGCAGAUGAAUAUGAGUUCAGCAAAAAACAGAUUUUGCAAGUGUUAAACCCACCUGAAAUUAGGAGGGGAUGGCAUACCUUCAAGUAAACCAGCAAACCAACCUAGUGUUUCCACAUAUUAUUUGUGGUAGGGCCUACCGGUAAAUACAGUGUGCUUCUUAAUGUAGGUAACAUUAUAUUCUGGAUGUAGACUAUCUUCCAAGACUAUGCAUAACAGCAUCAUGGAGCUUAUAAGUAUGAACUUGUUUUUUGUGCAAUUUUUAAAAUUCAUUUUUAAUAUGCCUUUUUGAAAUUAUUAUAUAGACAAAUUUCGAAUAAAACUACUAAUGGAAGUUAUUUAACCUUUUUAAAAACAUUUUACAUGCAUUUAAAAAGCCAAGCAUAUGUCCCUAUUAACCAUACUAUGAUUAAAAAGGGACACAUAUUGAAAAACCUCAGGUGUCCCUAUUAACCCCACCUCUAGGGUGAAUAGGGACAGGCAAAAAAAAUUAAUUAUUGUAAAACAUUAACAGAAAAUACAAAAAUUUAUUAUGCUAUAGAAAGCUAAUAAAAAGAACUACUAAAUAAAAAUAUAAUCAUACAACAUUCUUCAGUGAUUUAGAAAUUAUUUAACAAAAACUAAAAAAAUUGUCCCUAUUCACCCCAUUUUACUGUACCAGUGCCUUUAAGUUUUUUAGUUUAUUGCACUUGCUUUUUAGGAAGUUUAAUUUAACUUACUUUUUUUGCUUUAAAUAGUCAAGUUGAUGGAAAAGUUAAUUGAAUUAUUAGAAAAAUAUCCAUGUUUAUGGCAUGAAAGGACGGAAGAAUACAGAAGGCAGGAUAUGCAGGACAAUGCCUUGGAUUUGAUUGCAAGGGAAUGCUAUCAAACUGAGUUGAAUUUUUCUGAAAUAGGUACUCCAUACAUUUGGUUUUGUCUUCGCAAGCAACUGCUUCAUCAAAUUAUGAAUUUCUUGUAAUUAUUUUGUUUUUAGAUUAAAUUCAUGAACCCAAAAGACUAUUGUCAUUGUCAAAAUCAUCACUUGAAUCUUAUGGCAUGCAUCUCUCCGACAUUGCAAAUUAGACUAUCUUGUCUGGCAACCUGGGCGCAGCGAACAUAGCUCAGUUUACAAUUUAGCCUCGGCUUUUGUUGUAUCAAUCAAGGUGUGUAAAGAGUUCUGGCAAUGGCAUUGGGAAUUAAUCACCGAAUAUAAAUCCAAUGUAACAAAACCUCAUGAAUAGAUACACAACCUCAAAGCCUGUAGUGCCGCAGGGCACCACAGUAGCAAGGCGAUUUGUUGCAUUGAACGUCCUUACACGAGAAUCCACGUGAGCUUCUGCAGUGUUGUAAUGAACAAAUUACACAGUAUGUCAUGCUUGUUGAGGAGUUGGCAUAUUAUAUCAGUGAAUAACUGUGCAGAAGAGCUCAUAGAUAAGGAACUUGUGAGGAAUUACAACACAGAAUGAACAGGAGUUCACCACACAUCCCAUGCAAUGUCAUGCCAACAGCCAGCUGACUUUGAGCUAUAAGUUUGGUUUUUAAGGUGAGGCUCAAAAAGACACACAGGCUAUGGAGAAGUUCAUGCUGGUCCUCUUCAACUGUAUCCACCAGUCAUCUGUUAUGCAACCAGUUCCUCUGCUCAUGCUGUACAAAGACAGUGAAAGAAAAUUUGCAGCAAGUGCUCACAACAGAAAAUAACCUACAUUGCCUGCUAGGAAGAACACAAGAACUACCACCCGCUGGAGGAUCAGAGACCAGACACCAAAUAUAGUCACAUACAAUACCUACCAGAGCCGCAACGUGAGUACCAGUGCCCACAAUUGGCAGCACCACUAUAAUUUAGGAGCACCAGCCAUCAUCCCCAAGUAACAAAUCACUCAGAACCAGCAUGAUUGAAAAGGCCACCAGUGUUGAUGGUGCCCUGAAGGGGAUUAGGCAGUAAAGGCAUGCAAGACAUGAUGUCCUAGCUUUAAUGGCCUGCAACCCACCCAGUGGCGUAGCCAGGAUUUGUGUAUGGGGGGUCCUCCCCUGGGAAAAUUUGGAUUUUAAGGUGUAAAAUAGUGCUAUUUUAGCAGUUUUCGGUACUUAAAUUUAAAUAUUGUAAUGGUAAAAAUUUUAUUAAUUUUAAUAUGAAAUUCGUUUGAGUGAUUAAUAGGAAAUUAAUUAAUGAUUUGGUGGUGGUGGAACCCCUAACCCCCCCCCCCCCCCCCGGCCUACACCCCUGAACCCACCUCCUCUCGUGGAUGCAACACCUUUGAUAUUGAGCCAUCUUAUUAAACCCCAGAUUAACAACUUAUAUAUGGGUUCCUGUUACCCUUAAUGGGAAGACACCCGCCACCCUGUGGUACACACAGCAGUAAGCCAUGUGUUUUUGGUACAAACACCUGGGACUUGCCAGCAGACAUCAUGUCCAAGGACGAAUUGUGGAGGGGGAGAUGGGAGGGAUAUACCCCCCCCCUCCUCCGAAAUCCUGUACAAAAUUUCCCCUUGCCCCCCAAAAA
This is a long non-coding RNA of Bacillus rossius redtenbacheri, 3363 nucleotides long. RefSeq lists it as uncharacterized. NCBI's taxonomy places the organism in Eukaryota, Metazoa, Arthropoda, Insecta, Phasmatodea, Bacillidae. The transcript has 2 exons. The record is from RefSeq and is a predicted model, not a curated record.